RNAcentral lists this ribosomal RNA (253 nucleotides) under uncultured bacterium. Its description in RNAcentral is "partial 16S ribosomal RNA". It matches the Rfam family "Bacterial small subunit ribosomal RNA", at positions 524 to 776 of the family's 1533-position model. The record is from RNAcentral.
UACGGAAGGCCCGAGCGUUAAUCGGAAUCACUGGGCUUAAAGGGUGCGCAGGCGGACCUGUAAGCAUGUCGUGAAAGCCCCCGGCUCAACCGGGGAACUGCGAUGUGGACUGCGGGUCUUGAGGCAGGUAGGGGCGAGUGGAACCAUGGGUGGAGCGGUGAAAUGCGUAGAUAUCCAUGGGAACGCCGAUGGCGAAGGCAGCUCGCUGGGCCUGUCCUGACGCUCAGGCAAGAAAGCGUGGGGAGCGAACGGG